This 828-nucleotide long non-coding RNA is filed under the name Helianthus annuus (common sunflower). RNAcentral's name for it is "hypothetical non coding rna". The record is from RNAcentral. Lineage: Eukaryota; Viridiplantae; Streptophyta; Magnoliopsida; Asterales; Asteraceae.
AUGGGAAACUAUGACGAAAUUUUAUAAAAAUCUAAUCGCGAUUAAAAAGAGAUUAAUGGGGUGAUUAACUUGGUUAAUCGUGAUUAGUAAACUUAAUUGUGAAUAGCGACUCUAAUCAUGAUUAUACAAACCCUAAGGACGAUGGUUAAGUCCUAACCAUCCAAGAGUUUAUAUAAACUCAAAAGGAUACUUUUAUAACAUAAAAUCGGUAAAGUUUUUAAAUAAAACAAUAAAUGUAAUUUUUGAGAAGAUUAUAUUUACAUAUGUUAAAAUACUAUAUUUGGUGUAUGCUACUUAUAUAAUGGGUGUAUGUAUUAGUAGUAGGAAGAAUACUUACCAAAUAUAAAAAUACACUACAUUUGGAAAAUACACCAAACUUAUACACAUGAGGUUCCAUAUAUAUUAUGGUUAACACAAAUAACGGACAAUGAAACGCGGUAUACCUACACGUAUAAUACGGUAUACCUACACGUCUAAUACGGUAUACCUACACGUAUAAUACGGCACACCCACGCGUAUAAUACGGUACACCUACACGUAUAAAUACGGUAUACGUACGCGUAUAAAGCACACAAAUACAAGUAUACAUACGGUAUAUGUAUAUGUAUAAAAGACUCUAGUACAUGAUGAUAUACACACAUACACUCAUUGAAGUAUACUCUCUCACUAAUGUCGUACGCAUACGACAACGUAUUUCGACGUUAAAAAUAAAUAUUUUCAACACUUUUAUCAAUUAAAGGUAUACACUUAUAUUUGUGUAAGUCUCGAAUCAAGUAUACCAGAAACAAAUGCCAACGUAUUAUUAUCGAACUACACAAACUACACAAG